CUACGGGCGGCUGCAGUGAGGAAUUUUGCGCAAUGGGGGGAACCCUGACGCAGCAACGCCGCGUGAGUGAAGAAGGCCUUUGGGUCGUAAAGCUCUGUCAACAAGGAAGAAGUUAGCAUUGAUGAACAGUUGAUGCUAUUGACGGUACUUGUGGAGGAAGCGCCGGCUAACUCCGUGCCAGCAGCCGCGGUAACACGGGGGGCGCAAGCGUUAUUCGGAAUUAUUGGGCGUAAAGGGCGCGUAGGCGGCCUUAUCAGUCAGAUGUGAAAGCCCGGGGCUCAACCCCGGACGUGCAUUUGAAACAGUAAGGCUUGAGUACGGGAGAGGAAAGCGGAAUUCCUGGUGUAGAGGUGAAAUUCGUAGAUAUCAGGAGGAACACCGAUGGCGAAGGCAGCUUUCUGGACCGAUACUGACGCUGAGGCGCGAAGGCGUGGGUAGCGAACAGGAUUAGAUACCCUUGUAGUC
This 465-nucleotide ribosomal RNA is filed under the name uncultured bacterium. RNAcentral's name for it is "partial 16S ribosomal RNA". It matches the Rfam family "Bacterial small subunit ribosomal RNA", at positions 339 to 795 of the family's 1533-position model. The record is from RNAcentral.